RNAcentral lists this ribosomal RNA (404 nucleotides) under uncultured bacterium. RNAcentral's name for it is "bacterial SSU rRNA". It matches the Rfam family "Bacterial small subunit ribosomal RNA", at positions 27 to 417 of the family's 1533-position model. The record is from RNAcentral.
GAAUGAACGCUGGCGGCGUGCUUAACACAUGCAAGUCGAGCGAGGCCUGGGGGGGCAACUCCCAGAGUCGAGCGGCGGACGGGUGAGUAACACGUGGGUAACCUGCCCGGAAGUGGGGAAUACCUCGGGGAAACUCGAGCUAAUACCGCAUGACAUCUCCGGGACGAAAGUCCUGGCGAUCAAAGCGGGGUCGCAAGAUCUCGCGCUACCGGAUGGGCCCGCGCCCGAUUAGCUAGUUGGGAGGUAACGGCUCACCAAGGCUUCGAUCGGUAACCGGCCUGAGAGGGCGAUCGGUCACACCGGAACUGAGACACGGUCCGGACUCCUACGGGAGGCAGCAGUGGGGAAUCUUGCGCAAUGGGCGAAAGCCUGACGCAGCAACGCCGCGUGGAGGAUGAAGGCCC